This is a non-coding RNA of Phascolarctos cinereus (koala), 2682 nucleotides long. Lineage: Eukaryota; Metazoa; Chordata; Mammalia; Diprotodontia; Phascolarctidae. The record is from RefSeq and is a predicted model, not a curated record.
GAAGGGGCCACUCCAGAGGGUGAAGCUGAAGGACUGAUAUCUGAUGGCCAAUGGGCCUGCUGUGCCAUCUUUCUGAAUGAAGGAUUUAAGAACAUAGAUGGAGUCAUCGAAGUCCAGUGGCAAGACAAAACUCAAGAUGACUGGUGAUGGCUUGGGAUGCAGUGGAUGACCUCUAUGUCUUCAAUGUUUAGCCAAGUUCUAAGCUCUCUACGGUGCCUGCUUCAGCCACCUCUAUGGCUGUUGGAAAACUCUCCUGGCCAUGGCAAACAUUCAACACUCUCAGCAAUUUCAGAAACAGAUAGCUGUCAUUUUGAGGGGAGGCCAAUAAUGGGCAGGGUCUCAUAUCAGCUUGAGAGACAGAAGGAGCUGCAAGGGACACAAGAGAAACAACCAGGAAUGAAAUCAAAGACUCAGAAGGUGCAAGGGGGAAGCAACAUGGGGUGCCUGAAAAACAUGAGAGGAAUGCAGCAACAUACGAUGCCCCGGAGCUGCCAAGACAUGCACAGAUUGAGCAAAAAGUACAAAACCUUCAAGACCCACAAGGAGAGAACCAAAAUAGAUAUGGAGACAUAGUCAGAGACAUUAAAGAAACAUAUAAAAAUUUGCAACGAGGGAUACAAGAAGAGAGAGAACCUAGAUGUGUGCUGGAAAGAGAAACUAUAAAAUCAGUGUAUCAAAAAAUGCAACAGUAUUCGUAAGAGGCAAAGGAGAUGCAUUUUAAUGUUUUUUGGUACACCAUCUACAAGAGAUAAAAAAGAGUGACCAAAAUUGAGAACUUUAAAGAGUAACAGAAGUUGCUGGGUUUUACAGUGAGAACCCCUGAUCUAGAGAUACUGACUCAUAUUGCACUGGAAUCAGGAUCACUAUUUAUUCUGCUAAAUGUUUGUCAUUUCCUUUAACUGGGGUACACAUUACUAGAAGGCUCAGAUUUCCUUCUCACAGUCAGACACCAGCUCCAUUGUCUUGUCACUAACUAAUUUCAUCCUACUAGAGUAAAUGGAUUCUCCUUGGCCAGUGUAGCUAAAGUGUAGCAGCAUUCAACUCAUCUGUUCCCUGCCUAUUCAUGUUCUAAUCCACCUUUCUUCACUGGCUGGGGCUUGUUAUAUGUAGCAUUCUACUGAUACUCAGUUUGGAGAAGAGGUUUCCAACCUGCACAGAGCCACCCUCAAACACAAAAAGCAAGAUUGCAAUACAUAUACUAAUAAAAUGUUUUAGAUGAUUUGCAGGGGCUGCUUUUCCCCAUUCACUUAGUCACUAAUACCUCAGGCUUUACAAGUGCAUGUAUAUGUCUUGUCAGUCAGCUUAGUUGACAUCACAGAAUGUUUACAUAAUGGAUGCACUCCAUUGAGCCACCUGCACUGUCACAUCCACUGAGGAAGAUGCCAUUAUUUAAAAAAUUAUACAUAUGACAAUUCAUUUCUAUAAAUGUUUAUUGAGCAUUAAAAAAAAGGGUGAGGCCUAAGUGUUUGGUAACUUUAGGAGGCAGCUUUAAUUUAGAAGUGGGAAGUCUUCCCAGUUUUCUUACUAAUAAUUAACCUGAGAAUGACCUUGGAAGAAGUUAUAAUUAACUUAGUAUUAAGGGAACUGGAUGGAGAUGCCUGAUAAGGUUUCUUAGAGAAGUUGCAAAAGGGGAAAAAUUGUCGAACUUUUAGCAUGCAAAUUAUGUAGUUACAAGUGACUCUUCUUUAAAAGAAAACCAUUAACUCUAUAAAUUUUUUUUAUUGUUUAUUAUUUUUCAAGUAACUAACAUUUAAAAAAUUAAUCUAUUCUCUCAUAAACCCUUGCCCCACUGAGAAAAUCAAAUUGCUCAAAGCAAAGUCCAGCAAAACAAAUUCCCAUUAGCCAUGUCUGAAAAACAUAUCUCAGUGUUUUUUAAGUUUAUCACUUCUUUUGUCAGGAGGUGACACAUUUAGAGUCAUUAUUUAUCACUGCAUUGCCUGGAGUUCUAAAGGCUUUCCAAGUUGUUUUUCUCUAUAAUAUUGUUAUCAUUGUAUAAAUUAUUCUUAUUGCUCUAUUCACAUCAGUUUGUAAAAGUCUUCCUAGUUUCUUCUGAAACUGUGAGUUUCAUCAUUUCUUAUGGCAGGACAAUAUUCUGUGACAUUCCUAUUCCACAAUUUCUUUAGCCAUCACCCAAUAGGAGGACACGCAUUUAGUUAAUCAUUUUUGGCUAGCAUGAAAAAAGCUGUUAUAAAUAUUUUCAUACAUGUUCUUUUUAGAUCCUCCUCCUCUUUCUUUGAUAUCCUUGGCAGAGUCUGCGCCUACUGGUGGUAUAGCUUGGUAUAUGCACAGUUUGUUAACUUAAGGAUCAUAGUUCCAAACUGAUUUCCAGAAUGGUUGGACCAAUUUACACCAACAAUGUAUUAAUGUGCCUAUUUACCCACAGCUCCUCCAGCAUUUGCCGUGUUUACCAGUUUGUGAGAUAGAAUCUUGAAAUUGCUUUGAUUUGAUUUUCUCUAUUAGUGUUUUAGAAUAUUUAAAAAAAUAGCUAUAGAUAGCCUGGGUUUCUUUUUUUAAAAACUGGUGGUUCAAAUCUUUUGACCAUUUGUCUAGUGUGGAAUGGCUCUUUGUCAUAGAACUUUGAAUAAGUCCCUUUCAUAUCAUGGAAAUGACAUCUUAAUCAGAAAAAUAAAGAUAUCUCCUCCCCCCCAGUCACAUGUUGUCUUUUUAAUUUUUGCUACAUUA